UAUAAUAAAUAGGGUAAUAUAAACAUUUUAUAAAAACCAAUAUAAUUUGGCGGCAUUUAAUUUUAUUAGAGGAACUUGUUUAUUAAUCGUCACGCCACGAUAUUUCUCACUUUAGUAAAAAUUUUAUAUACCGCCAUAUCAGAAUUAAUUCAAAAAUUAAAUCCAAUUAAUAUUUAUAUUAAAAUAUAGGUAAAGGUGUAGACAACACUAAAGAUUAAAUGAGUUACAAUAAAAAUCAUUUAAGGAAGUAAAGAUAAAUCUAAAUGAAAAUAGGAUUUAUAAGUAAAUUUAUAGUAAUUAUAAAAAUUGAAUAAAACAAAAAAUGUGC
RNAcentral lists this ribosomal RNA (328 nucleotides) under Tekella absidata. Its description in RNAcentral is "partial 12S ribosomal RNA". Lineage: Eukaryota; Metazoa; Arthropoda; Arachnida; Araneae; Cyatholipidae. The record is from RNAcentral.